UGGUAGUCCACGCCGUAAACGAUGAGUGCUAAGUGUUAGAGGGUUUCCGCCCUUUAGUGCUGCAGCAAACGCAUUAAGCACUCCGCCUGGGGAGUACGGCCGCAAGGCUGAAACUCAAAGGAAUUGACGGGGGCCCGCACAAGCGGUGGAGCAUGUGGUUUAAUUCGAAGCAACGCGAAGAACCUUACCAGGUCUUGACAUCUCCUGACAACCCUAGAGAUAGGGCGUUCCCCUUCGGGGGACAGGAUGACAGGUGGUGCAUGGUUGUCGUCAGCUCGUGUCGUGAGAUGUUGGGUUAAGUCCCGCAACGAGCGCAACCCUUGAUCUUAGUUGCCAGCAUUCAGUUGGGCACUCUAAGGUGACUGCCGGUGACAAACCGGAGGAAGGUGGGGAUGACGUCA
RNAcentral lists this ribosomal RNA (401 nucleotides) under Cytobacillus sp. Its description in RNAcentral is "bacterial SSU rRNA". It matches the Rfam family "Bacterial small subunit ribosomal RNA", at positions 788 to 1187 of the family's 1533-position model. Lineage: Bacteria; Bacillati; Bacillota; Bacilli; Caryophanales; Bacillaceae. The record is from RNAcentral.